This 72-nucleotide transfer RNA is filed under the name Marmota monax (woodchuck). Its description in RNAcentral is "tRNA.Ala". Lineage: Eukaryota; Metazoa; Chordata; Mammalia; Rodentia; Sciuridae. The record is from RNAcentral.
UAUGCUGGGGCUCAGUGGUAGAGCACUUGCCUAGCAUGAGCAAGGCCCUGGGUUAGAUCCUCAGCACCACAU